GAAGUGUUUCACAUUAUCUUUUCAUGAUAAAAAGGUAAAUUUUUACCA
RNAcentral lists this transfer RNA (48 nucleotides) under Planorbis carinatus. Its description in RNAcentral is "tRNA-Glu". Lineage: Eukaryota; Metazoa; Mollusca; Gastropoda; Planorbidae. The record is from RNAcentral.